CGAGGAAAAGAAAUCAACCGAGAUUCCCCCAGUAGCGGCGAGCGAACGGGGAGGAGCCCAGAGUCUGAAUCAGCGCGUGUGUUAGUGGAAGCGUCUGGAAAGUCGCACGAUACAGGGUGAAAGUCCCGUACACAAAAAUGCACACGCUGUGAACUCGAAGAGUAGGGCGGGACACGUGGUAUCCUGUCUGAAUAUGGGGGGACCAUCCUCCAAGGCUAAAUACUCCUGACUGACCGAUAGUGAACCAGUACCGUGAGGGAAAGGCGAAAAGAACCCCGGCGAGGGGAGUGAAAAAGAACCUGAAACCGUGUACGUACAAGCAGUGGGAGCCUCUUUAUGGGGUGACUGCGUACCUUUUGUA
RNAcentral lists this ribosomal RNA (361 nucleotides) under Bacillus cereus. RNAcentral describes it as "bacterial LSU rRNA". It matches the Rfam family "Bacterial large subunit ribosomal RNA", at positions 212 to 612 of the family's 2925-position model. The record is from RNAcentral. Lineage: Bacteria; Bacillati; Bacillota; Bacilli; Caryophanales; Bacillaceae.